RNAcentral lists this ribosomal RNA (569 nucleotides) under uncultured bacterium. RNAcentral describes it as "partial 16S ribosomal RNA". It matches the Rfam family "Bacterial small subunit ribosomal RNA", at positions 355 to 919 of the family's 1533-position model. The record is from RNAcentral.
UGGGGAAUUUUGGACAAUGGGCGAAAGCCUGAUCCAGCAAUGCCGCGUGUGUGAAGAAGGCCUUCGGGUUGUAAAGCACUUUUGUCCGGAAAGAAAUCCUUGGCUCUAAUACAGUCGGGGGAUGACGGUACCGGAAGAAUAAGCACCGGCUAACUACGUGCCAGCAGCCGCGGUAAUACGUAGGGUGCAAGCGUUAAUCGGAAUUACUGGGCGUAAAGCGUGCGCAGGCGGUUUGCUAAGACCGAUGUGAAAUCCCCGGGCUCAACCUGGGAACUGCAUUGGUGACUGGCAGGCUAGAGUAUGGCAGAGGGGGGUAGAAUUCCACGUGUAGCAGUGAAAUGCGUAGAGAUGUGGAGGAAUACCGAUGGCGAAGGCAGCCCCCUGGGCCAAUACUGACGCUCAUGCACGAAAGCGUGGGGAGCAAACAGGAUUAGAUACCCUGGUAGUCCACGCCUAAACGAUGUCAACUAGUUGUUGGGGAUCAUUUCCUUAGUAACGUAGCUAACGCGUGAAGUUGACCGCCUGGGGAGUACGGUCGCAAGAUUAAAACUUAAAGGAAUUGACGGGGU